UAGGGAAUCUUCCACAAUGGACGCAAGUCUGAUGGAGCAACGCCGCGUGAGUGAAGAAGGCUUUCGGGUCGUAAAACUCUGUUGUUGGAGAAGAAUGGUCGGCAGAGUAACUGUUGUCGGCGUGACGGUAUCCAACCAGAAAGCCACGGCUAACUACGUGCCAGCAGCCGCGGUAAUACGUAGGUGGCAAGCGUUAUCCGGAUUUAUUGGGCGUAAAGCGAGCGCAGGCGGUUUUUUAAGUCUGAUGUGAAAGCCCUCGGCUUAACCGAGGAAGUGCAUCGGAAACUGGAAAACUUGAGUGCAGAAGAGGACAGUGGAACUCCAUGUGUAGCGGUGAAAUGCGUAGAUAUAUGGAAGAACACCAGUGGCGAAGGCGGCUGUCUGGUCUGUAACUGACGCUGAGGCUCGAAAGCAUGGGUAGCGAACAGGAUUAGAUACCCUGGUAGUCCAUGCCGUAAACGAUGAAUGCUAGGUGUUGGAGGGUUUCCGCCCUUCAGUGCCGCAGCUAACGCAUUAAGCAUUCCGCCUGGGGAGUACGACCGCAAGGUUGAA
This 552-nucleotide ribosomal RNA is filed under the name uncultured bacterium. Its description in RNAcentral is "partial 16S ribosomal RNA". It matches the Rfam family "Bacterial small subunit ribosomal RNA", at positions 355 to 898 of the family's 1533-position model. The record is from RNAcentral.